This 415-nucleotide ribosomal RNA is filed under the name uncultured bacterium. Its description in RNAcentral is "bacterial SSU rRNA". It matches the Rfam family "Bacterial small subunit ribosomal RNA", at positions 28 to 490 of the family's 1533-position model. The record is from RNAcentral.
GACGAACGCUGGCGGCAGGCUUAACACAUGCAAGUCGAACGAACUCUUCGGAGUGAGUGGCAGACGGGUGCGUAACACGUGGGAACCUACCUUAAGGUACGGAACAACACCGAGAAAUUGGUGCUAAUACCGUAUGUGCCCUUCGGGGGAAAGAUUUAUCGCCUUAAGAUGGGCCCGCGGCAGAUUAGAUAGUUGGUGGGGUAAUGGCCUACCAAGUCGACGAUCUGUAGCUGGUCUGAGAGGAUGAUCAGCCACACUGGGACUGAGACACGGCCCAGACUCCUACGGGAGGCAGCAGUGGGGAAUAUUGGGCAAUGGGCGCAAGCCUGACCCAGCCAUGCCGCGUGAGUGAUGAAGCCUUAGGGUUGUAAAACUCUUUCGCUAGUGAAGAUAAUGACGGUAACUAGUAAAGAAG